ACUGCGCCUAGGGAUUAGGAUAAUAUAAAACUUUUACAGUACCACAGAGCACAUAAGUAGUUGAAGUCUUCUGUGACGAUACUUGAAACACAAUAUAAAUUUUUUUUCCAUAGCUUUUUACCUAUUUUGAAGCCAAGGAAAUUUCAUGGAUUAUAAAAUGAUUAAAUUAAACGAAAGGCAUAAUUUAAAAGAAAUACGUUUCCAUUGUAAGUUUGAGGUCGAAUAUUUACAAGGUUUGCUUACGUUUAUGAAUUUGUCCAUUCGGAUUAUGUGUCAGUAUUUAAAUGUUGUGAAUUUUGAAGGUAGGUAAUGGAGACCUAUUUUAUGUGACUGAAGUAGAGAAACUGGGGAGUUUAAACCACAAAGUGUAUUGGUAAUGUUCAUUUCUCACCUGUAUGAUUCGCAGCAUGAACGCAAGCGUACGUCAUAGAUACGUGUACUUAUUAUUACGUUCUUAAAAGAAGUUUAGGUUUAUUUAGUUAUAUUAACUUUAUAUUUCAGGAGCGGCAAAACGACCUAAAGUUCGGAGGCGUUUGUUUGCAGACUGAGAACGGACAUUAUAUGAAUUUCGCAUUCAUCAUUUCACCGACAAUUGGAAAAAAGACUGGAGCAAUUUACAAGCAGUUCAUAGGUCCAGCAAAAAGGUCUGAAUUGCGAAGGCAUUUGUGCCCUUAUUACUGAGGAAUGGCAUAUCAAUCUCCCUUUCAUCAUACAUCACCUUAUGUCACUUAAGUGGAAGCCAACAAUAGAAAAGUAAUUUACAGGCAGUCCACCGGUAUACAGUUUAUUUAGUAUUUAGUUUUCUUAUUCAUUAUUAUUAUAAAUGUGUCAUUUUGUUUGUUAUUUAAAAGUUCUGCAUCAUUACAAUCGUUCCUUUAUAUCCGAGAAAUAUUCAUUAAAGUUCCAUUAUUAAUCGA
This is a long non-coding RNA of Coccinella septempunctata (seven-spotted ladybird), 917 nucleotides long. RefSeq lists it as uncharacterized. The transcript has 2 exons. Lineage: Eukaryota; Metazoa; Arthropoda; Insecta; Coleoptera; Coccinellidae. The record is from RefSeq and is a predicted model, not a curated record.